ACUUCGGUCUGGUGGCGAGUGGCGAACGGGUGAGUAAUAUAUCGGAACGUCGCCCAGUCGGUGGGGGAUAACGUAGCGAAAGUUUACGCUAAUACCGCAUACGAUCUAAGGAUGAAAGCGGGGGACCGUAAGGCCUCGCGCGAUUUGGAGCGGCCGAUAUCAGAUUAGGUAGUUGGUGGGGGUUAAAAAGCCCACCAAGGCGACGAUCAGUAGCUGGUCUGAGAGGACGAUCAGCCACACUGGGACUGAGACACGGCCCAGACUCCUACGGGAGGCAGCAGUGGGGAAUUUUGGACAAUGGGGGCAACCCUGAUCCAGCAAUGCCGCGUGAGUGAAGAAGGCCUUCGGGUUGUAAAGCUCUUUUGUCAGGGAAGAAACACCGGCUCUAACACAGUCCGGGAAUGACGGUACCUGAAGAAUAAGCACCGGCUAACUACGUG
This 440-nucleotide ribosomal RNA is filed under the name uncultured bacterium. RNAcentral describes it as "bacterial SSU rRNA". It matches the Rfam family "Bacterial small subunit ribosomal RNA", at positions 77 to 507 of the family's 1533-position model. The record is from RNAcentral.